Meleagris gallopavo (turkey) is the source of this 195-nucleotide non-coding RNA. The record is from RefSeq and is a predicted model, not a curated record. Lineage: Eukaryota; Metazoa; Chordata; Aves; Galliformes; Phasianidae.
GGGUGACUGCCUUCAAGAAAGGAUCUCUUCCUGUAGAUCCUUUGUUGGUGAAGUUUUCCCCUGCAAACCUAGAGUUUUCUGAUAUGGGCAGUGCAUUUCAGGACAUCAGCCCAUGUGAAGUCCUUACCUGCCCACAAACAGGCUGCUUCCUGCAAAGGAGUGCUGCAUAGCCAGAGAGCCCCUUCAUUGGUUGGG